GCUAUGAUUCAAGAGCCAAACCAAUGGUGGUGAUGCUGCUGGCCCUGGAUCCUGCUCCCCAGGCUGCUUCUGAACCUCAGCCAAGCCCACCAACAGCAUCAUUUUCCCUUAGUGAAACAGCACCAACACACUGACAAAGGCCAAGUCACUGGACGUGCUCCUGGGCUCUUCCCCAAGAGGAGAAGGAACCCCAGCCACGUUUUGGGGACGUACCGGAUGCCGAAGACGCAGUGGACGUAGUUCCAGAUGGCGCGGCGCAGCAUGGAGGUGUCGACGCCGCAGUGCACGGCGAUGGUGUUGUAGGUCAGGUUGAAAACCACCUGGAACUUCUCAUCCAGGAGCUGCCCCACGUCCGGGUACAGGCGGUUGAUCAGCGAGUAGCCGUGGUCCUCCCAGGUGUAAUCCUGUUGGAGAAAGGAUGCUGGGAUAGAGGUUUGAUGGGGAAAAGCGGCGUCCCUCUGUCCUGGUUUCAGGCACUAUAGAGGCUCUGCCAGUGGGAGGAGGAUAUCCAGGACAGGUGACCCAAAGUCAUCAGAGGGAUAUUCCACACCAAAGAACGUCAUGCCCAGUAUAURGACUGGGCAGAGUUACCCAGAAGGGGCCAAUCUGGGUUUGGGAAGGAGGGUCUGGCAUUAGUCAGUGGGUGCUGAGCAACUGCAUCGUGCAUCACUUACACUGUCAUUAUUAUAAUUAUUUACCAUCAAUACUGUAUUUUACUUUA
Malurus melanocephalus (red-backed fairy wren) is the source of this 721-nucleotide long non-coding RNA. RefSeq lists it as uncharacterized. The transcript is spliced from 3 exons. The record is from RefSeq and is a predicted model, not a curated record. NCBI's taxonomy places the organism in Eukaryota, Metazoa, Chordata, Aves, Passeriformes, Maluridae.